This 329-nucleotide ribosomal RNA is filed under the name uncultured eukaryote. RNAcentral describes it as "partial 18S ribosomal RNA". It matches the Rfam family "Eukaryotic small subunit ribosomal RNA", at positions 1470 to 1796 of the family's 1831-position model. The record is from RNAcentral.
CCCUUAGAUGUUCUGGGCCGCACGCGCGCUACACUGACGAAUGCAACGAGCUUAUAACCUUGGCCGAAAGGUCUGGGUAAUCUCCAAAUUUCGUCGUGAUGGGGAUAGAUUAUUGCAAUUAUUAAUCUUCAACGAGGAAUGCCUAGUAAGCGCGAAUCAUCAGUUCGCGUUGAUUACGUCCCUGCCCUUUGUACACACCGCCCGUCGCUCCUACCGAUUGAAUGGUCCGGUGAAAAUUUCGGAUAGUGGCGAUGCUGGCGGUUCGCCGCCGGCGCUGCCGCUAGAAGAUCUUUAAACCUUAUCAUUUAGAGGAAGGAGAAGUCGUAACA